GCAAAAGAAGAUUUUAUUUGUCAGGAAUCAAAAGUGAUUUCCAUUUCAAUUAUCGCCGCUGGAAGGUGAAAAGUUGCACACUGAAAUACAAAAGUCUAAGAAGAACCAGUAAGCCAUUGAAAGCCGGUCCAGUAAACACACCAGUGAACCAUGAAAAGCUCAGGAAUCAUUACUUUACAUGUGAACGAAACAGUUUGCAAAAAGUCACGUUUUUCUGAUCCACUCAAGGUGGAUCAGAAAAACCUGACUUUUAGUUGAUUACAUCUAGAAAAACUACAUUAAAGAAUAGAGGAGUAAUUUAGAAAAACACAGAGAAAAUACCGUUGUAGACCUUGAGUUACAGAACAAAAGCGUAGUAUUUCUAUUUAAUAUCAUUUGUAAU
Molecule: long non-coding RNA, 382 nt
Organism: Pocillopora damicornis (cauliflower coral)
Lineage: Eukaryota; Metazoa; Cnidaria; Anthozoa; Scleractinia; Pocilloporidae
Source: RefSeq, a predicted model, not a curated record